AGUCGUGAACGGCAGCACGGACUUCGGUCUGGUGGCGAGUGGCGAACGGGUGAGUAAUGUAUCGGAACGUGCCUAGUAGCGGUGAUAACUACGCGCGAAAGCGUAGCUAAUAAUGCAUACGCCCCCUGGGAAAGCGGGGACCUUUCGGGCCUCGCACUAUUAGAGCGGCCGAUAUCGGAUAGCUAGUUGGUGGGGGCAACGCUCGUACUCGCGAUCGAUCCGUAGCUGGUUUGAGAGGACGACCAGCCACACUGAGACCGAGACACGGCCCAGACUCCUACGGGAGGCAGCAGUGAAUUCUGGACAAUGGGGAAACUCCUGAUCCAGCCAUCCCGCGUGUGCGAUGAAGGCCUUCGGGUUGUAAAAGCACUUUUGGCAGGAAAGAAACGGACGGAUAAUACUCCUGUGCAACUGACGGUACCUGCAGAAUAAGCACCGGGCUAACCACGUGCCAGCAGCCGCGGUAAUACGUAGGUGCAAGCGUUAAUCGGAAUUACUGGGCGUAAAAGCGUGCGCAGGCGGUUCGGAAAGAAAGAUGUGAAAUCCCAGAGCUUAACUUUGGAACUGCAUUUUAACUGACCGAGCUAGAGUGUGUCAGAGGGAGGUGGAAUUCCGCGUGUAGCAGUGAAAUGCGUAGAUAUGCGAGGAACACCGAUGGCGAAGGCAGCCUCCUGGGAUAACACUGACGCUCAUGCACGAAAGCGUGGGGAGCAAACAGGAUUAGAUACCCUGUAGUCCACGCCCUAAACGAUGUCAACUAGCUGUUGGGGCCUUCGGGCCUUUGGAAGUAGCUAACGCGUGAAGUUGACCGCCUGGGAGUACGGUCGCAAGAUUAAAACUCAAAGGAAUUGACGGGGAUCGCACAAAGCGGUGGAUGAUGUGGAUUAAUUCGAUGCAACGCGAAAACCUUACCUACCCUGAUGUCUGGAAUCCCGAAGAGAUUUGGGAGUGCUCGCAAGAGAACCGAACACAGGUGCUGCAUGGCUGUCGUCAGCUCGUGUCGUGAGAUGUUGGGUUAAGUCCCCGCAACGAGCGCAACCCUUGUCAUUAGUUGCUGGGCGAAAGGGCACUUAUCGAGACUGCCGGUGACAAACCGAGGAAGGUGGGGAUGACGUCAAGUCCUCAUGGCCCUUAUGGGUAGGGCUUCACACGUCAUACAAUGGUCGGGACAGAGGGUCGCCAACUCGCGAGGGGGAGCCAAUCCCAGAAACCCGAUCGUAGUCCGGAUCGCAGUCUGCAACUCGACUGCGUGAAGUCGGAAUCGCUAGUAAUCGCGGAUCAGCAUGUCGCGGCGAAUACGUUCCCGGGUCUUGUACACACCGCCCGUCACACCAUGGGAGUGGGUUUUACCAGAAGUAGUUAGCCUAACCGUAAGGAGGGCGAUUACCAUUGCAGGAUUCAUGAUCGGGGUGAAGUCGUAACAAGGUAG
This 1429-nucleotide ribosomal RNA is filed under the name uncultured Bordetella sp. Its description in RNAcentral is "partial 16S-23S ribosomal RNA intergenic spacer". It matches the Rfam family "Bacterial small subunit ribosomal RNA". The record is from RNAcentral. Lineage: Bacteria; Pseudomonadati; Pseudomonadota; Betaproteobacteria; Burkholderiales; Alcaligenaceae.